UACGGGGGGGGCAAGCGUUGUUCGGAAUUACUGGGCGUAAAGGGCUCGUAGGCGGCCAACUAAGUCGGACGUGAAAUCCCUCGGCUUAACCGGGGAACUGCGUCCGAUACUGGAUGGCUUGAGUUCGGGAGAGGGAUGCGGAAUUCCAGGUGUAGCGGUGAAAUGCGUAGAUAUCAGGAGGAACACCGGUGGCGAAGGCGGAUCUCUGGGCCUCACCUGACGCUCAGGUGCGAAAGCUAGGGGAGCGAACAGG
This 253-nucleotide ribosomal RNA is filed under the name uncultured bacterium. Its description in RNAcentral is "partial 16S ribosomal RNA". It matches the Rfam family "Bacterial small subunit ribosomal RNA", at positions 524 to 776 of the family's 1533-position model. The record is from RNAcentral.